RNAcentral lists this ribosomal RNA (253 nucleotides) under uncultured bacterium. Its description in RNAcentral is "partial 16S ribosomal RNA". It matches the Rfam family "Bacterial small subunit ribosomal RNA", at positions 524 to 776 of the family's 1533-position model. The record is from RNAcentral.
UACGGAGGGUGCAAGCGUUAAUCGGAAUUACUGGGCGUAAAGCGCACGCAGGCGGUUUGUUAAGUCAGAUGUGGAAUCCCCGGGCUCAACCUGGGAACUGCCUUUGAAACUGGCAAGCUAGAGUCUCGUAGAGGGGGGUAGAAUUCCAGGUGUAGCGGUGAAAUGCGUAGAGAUAUGGAGGAAUACCGGUGGCGAAGGCGGCCCGCUGGACGAGGACUGACGCUCAGGUGCGAAAGCGUGGGGAGCAAACAGG